This 378-nucleotide ribosomal RNA is filed under the name uncultured bacterium. RNAcentral describes it as "partial 16S ribosomal RNA". It matches the Rfam family "Bacterial small subunit ribosomal RNA", at positions 338 to 733 of the family's 1533-position model. The record is from RNAcentral.
CCUACGGGUGGCAGCAGUGGGGAAUAUUGCACAAUGGGGGAAACACUGAUGCAGCAACGCCGCGUGGGUGAGGAAGUAUUUCGGUAUGUAAAGCCCCAUCAGCAGGGAAGAGAAUGACGGUACCUGACUAAGAAGCAGCGGCUAACUACGUGCCAGCAGCCGCGGGAACACGGAGGGGGCAAGCGUUAUCCGGAUUUACUGGGUGUAAAGGGAGCGUAGAGGGUUGUGAGAGUCCGAAGUGAAAGCCCGCGGCCCAACUGCGGAACGGCUUUGGAAACUGUGUGACUGGAGUGGUAGAGAGGUAAGCGGAAUUCGCGGUGUAGCGGUGAAAUGCGUAGAGAUCGGGAGGAACACCGGCGGCGAAGGCGGCAUACUGGA